This 836-nucleotide ribosomal RNA is filed under the name Mycobacterium sp. RNAcentral describes it as "bacterial SSU rRNA". It matches the Rfam family "Bacterial small subunit ribosomal RNA", at positions 107 to 928 of the family's 1533-position model. Lineage: Bacteria; Bacillati; Actinomycetota; Actinomycetes; Mycobacteriales; Mycobacteriaceae. The record is from RNAcentral.
UGAGUAACACGUGGGCAAUCUGCCCUGCACUUCGGGAUAAGCCUGGGAAACUGGGUCUAAUACCGGAUAGGACCUUUAGGCGCAUGCCUUUUGGUGGAAAGCUUUUGCGGUGUGGGAUGGGCCCGCGGCCUAUCAGCUUGUUGGUGGGGUGAUGGCCUACCAAGGCGACGACGGGUAGCCGGCCUGAGAGGGUGUCCGGCCACACUGGGACUGAGAUACGGCCCAGACUCCUACGGGAGGCAGCAGUGGGGAAUAUUGCACAAUGGGCGCAAGCCUGAUGCAGCGACGCCGCGUGGGGGAUGACGGCCUUCGGGUUGUAAACCUCUUUCACCAUCGACGAAGGUCCGGGUUUUCUCGGAUUGACGGUAGGUGGAGAAGAAGCACCGGCCAACUACGUGCCAGCAGCCGCGGUAAUACGUAGGGUGCGAGCGUUGUCCGGAAUUACUGGGCGUAAAGAGCUCGUAGGUGGUUUGUCGCGUUGUUCGUGAAAUCUCACGGCUUAACUGUGAGCGUGCGGGCGAUACGGGCAGACUAGAGUACUGCAGGGGAGACUGGAAUUCCUGGUGUAGCGGUGGAAUGCGCAGAUAUCAGGAGGAACACCGGUGGCGAAGGCGGGUCUCUGGGCAGUAACUGACGCUGAGGAGCGAAAGCGUGGGGAGCGAACAAGGAUUAGAUACCCUGGUAGUCCACGCCCGUAAACGGUGGGUACUAAGGUGUGGGGUUUCCUUCCUUGGGAUCCCGUGCCGUANCUAACGCAUUUAAGUACCCCCGCCUGGGGGGAGUACGGCCGCAAGGCNUAAAACUCAAAAGGAAUUUGANCGGGGGGCCCCGCACAA